This 253-nucleotide ribosomal RNA is filed under the name uncultured bacterium. Its description in RNAcentral is "partial 16S ribosomal RNA". It matches the Rfam family "Bacterial small subunit ribosomal RNA", at positions 524 to 776 of the family's 1533-position model. The record is from RNAcentral.
UACGGAGGGUGCAAGCGUUAAUCGGAAUUACUGGGCGUAAAGCGCACGUAGGUGGUUUGUUAAGCUAGAUGUGAAAGCCCCGGGCUCAACCUGGGAAUUGCAUUUAGAACUGGCAAGCUAGAGUAGGGUAGAGGGUCGUGGAAUUCCCAGUGUAGAGGUGAAAUUCGUAGAUAUUGGGAAGAACACCGGUGGCGAAGGCGGCGACCUGGUCCUUUACUGACGCUGAGGCGCGAAAGCGUGGGGAGCAAACAGG